Molecule: ribosomal RNA, 481 nt
Filed under: uncultured bacterium
Lineage: Bacteria
Description: partial 16S ribosomal RNA
Rfam family: Bacterial small subunit ribosomal RNA
Source: RNAcentral
AUUGAACGCUGGCGGCAUGCCUUACACAUGCAAGUCGAACGGUAACAGGUCUUCGGAUUCUGACGAGUGGCGAACGGGUGCGUAAUACAUCGGAACGUGCCCAGACGUGGGGGAUAACGAGGCGAAAGCUUUGCUAAUACCGCAUACGAUCUAAGACUGCCAGCAGGGGACCGCAAGGCCUCUUCCGAUUGUGGCGGCCGAGGGGAGAUUAGGUCGUUGGGGGGAUAAAAGCUUACCAAGCCGACGUUCUGUAGCUGGUCUUAGAGGACGACCAGCCACACGGAGACUGAGACACGGCCCAGACUCUUACGGGAGGCAGAAGGGGGAAAUUUUGGACAAUGGGCGAAAGCUUGAUCAAGCAAUGCGGCGUGGAGGAUGAAGGCCUUCGGGUUGUAAACUGCUUUUGUACGGAAGAAAAAGGCUCUGGCUAAUACCUGGGGCACAGGACGUAACCGUAAGAAUAAGCACCGGUAAAUUACGU